UUACAGAGAAAGAGGUGCAACAGUGGUACAAAGGCUUUAUAAAGGACUGUCCAAGUGGUCAGCUGGAUGCUGUGGGCUUUCAGAAGAUCUACAAGCAGUUCUUCCCUUUUGGUGACCCCACCAAGUUUGCUUCUUUUGUCUUCAACGUCUUUGAUGAAAACAAGGACGGACAAAUAGAGUUCUCC
This is a long non-coding RNA of Coregonus clupeaformis (lake whitefish), 185 nucleotides long. RefSeq lists it as uncharacterized. The transcript has 3 exons. NCBI's taxonomy places the organism in Eukaryota, Metazoa, Chordata, Actinopteri, Salmoniformes, Salmonidae. The record is from RefSeq and is a predicted model, not a curated record.